GCGUCAGUAGUGCAAUGAUAGAGCGCGCGCUCCAGGAAAGAGUAAGGUGCGGGUUCUAAUUCCGCCUGACGCA
Non-coding RNA from Parelaphostrongylus tenuis, 73 nucleotides. Lineage: Eukaryota; Metazoa; Nematoda; Chromadorea; Rhabditida; Metastrongylidae. The record is from the annotation of a GenBank genome assembly.